AUCUAGUUGACGAGUCCAAAGUAGGACGAAACUCACGUCAAACUGGAU
Molecule: non-coding RNA, 48 nt
Filed under: Schistosoma mansoni
Lineage: Eukaryota; Metazoa; Platyhelminthes; Trematoda; Strigeidida; Schistosomatidae
Source: RNAcentral